Molecule: ribosomal RNA, 216 nt
Filed under: Glomeromycotina sp.
Lineage: Eukaryota; Fungi; Glomeromycota
Description: partial small subunit ribosomal RNA
Rfam family: Eukaryotic small subunit ribosomal RNA (bases 40-216)
Source: RNAcentral
GGGUCAGUAGGUUGGUCGUGCCACCGGUACGUACUGGUCUCACUGAUUCCUCCUUCCUGAAGAACCGUAAUGCCAUUAAUUUGGUGUUGCGGGGAAACAGGACUGUUACUUUGAAAAAAUUAGAGUGUUUAAAGCAAGCUAACGCUUGAAUACAUUAGCAUGGAAUAAUGGAAUAGGACGAUCGAUCCUAUUUUGUUGGUUUCUAGGAUUGACGUA